GUAAAUUCAUUGAAAAGAAGAGUACUUUUUAACAAACCUCAACAAUAACACAUAAGCGAGCAGGGAUGGUGGAAGCCUGUGAGGAAGCUAAAAAGGAAGAGAGCCUUGGAGAAGCUUGCGAAAAAGGUAUAAUGAUGCAUUCAUUAAAUCACAAGCAAGCCGUUAACUGCGUUAAAGUUUUGAGUGGACUUGGUAUAAUGGCCUUGUCAACAAGAGUGGUACCACGGAUAUAUUCCCGUCUCUAUA
RNAcentral lists this non-coding RNA (246 nucleotides) under Clostridium magnum. Its description in RNAcentral is "T-box sequence". It matches the Rfam family "T-box leader". Rfam says of the family: Uncharged tRNA acts as the effector for transcription antitermination of genes in the T-box leader family. T-boxes are found upstream of many aminoacyl-tRNA synthetase genes and some amino acid biosynthetic genes usually in Gram-positive bacteria. The anticodon of a specific tRNA base pairs to a specifier sequence within the T-box motif, and the NCCA acceptor tail of the tRNA base pairs to a conserved bulge in the T-box antiterminator hairpin. The record is from RNAcentral. Lineage: Bacteria; Bacillati; Bacillota; Clostridia; Eubacteriales; Clostridiaceae.